UUACGGCCACAUCUCGUUGAAACACGGAUUCCUAUACGAUCACCGAAGUUAAGCAACGUCGAGUCUGGUUAGUGCCUAGAUGGGUGACUACUUGCGAAUACUAGAUGCUGUAAG
Acanthosepion pharaonis is the source of this 114-nucleotide non-coding RNA. NCBI's taxonomy places the organism in Eukaryota, Metazoa, Mollusca, Cephalopoda, Sepiida, Sepiidae. The record is from the annotation of a GenBank genome assembly.